AAGUAAAAUAAUUCCCUCCCCUGGUUUCCCCCAAAGAAAUUAAUUCGUACUCCCUAAACCUAACUUUACAUCCCCAAUUCAUUGAUAUCAACCUCCGUUCCCCCUCUUAACCCUAAAUCGGCAACCUCUCCAAUAUCAAUUCAUCAAUCUCCUGCUAUCAUAUGCGCGCUAUGGAUGAGGGCGAGCACGAAGGAAUGUAAUGGUGAUGAUUGUCGAUGGUGGUUCCGUACGAUGAUACUCGAAUCAUUUAAAUGCCGCUUUUCUAGAAGGAAUUCCUUAACUUCUUGUUUAUACAAAUCACAAAGCCCUUGUUUUAAGCAAUUAGGACCCUGCUAUCAUUUUCAUGCCUGCAUUCAUUUUCAGGUUUUGGAAGAUGUGUAUGAGUUUUUCUGCAAAUAGCCAACUUGUAAAAGCACUCUGUUACUAGUGUCUUGAUUCACGAAGUGGUGCCAACAUAAGGGUUAAACUCAUCUGGAUUAACGUUAGGUGUCCACGUUAGCCAGGAGGUACUGAAUGCGGCUACUAUGUGAUGAAGUUCAUGAAGGAGAUAGCUUACGAAGGAGUUGAAAUACUUGACAAUGAUAAUGUUGGGAAAUGAGUAGAGAGAUACUCGGCUGCGGAUAUGGAUGGCAUUCGCGAAGAUUGGUCUACUUAUGCGGUUACCUCUAUUUUUAAGUGACAGAUCGUAUUUUAGGUGUUAACGAUGUAUUGACACACAAUUCUUUUUUUUUUGUUAAUGUUAAAAUAUUUGUAGUAUACUUGACACGUGAUUAUGUAAUGGAUUGUUUUGGUAUAUAUA
This is a long non-coding RNA of Helianthus annuus (common sunflower), 799 nucleotides long. RefSeq lists it as uncharacterized. The transcript is spliced from 6 exons. NCBI's taxonomy places the organism in Eukaryota, Viridiplantae, Streptophyta, Magnoliopsida, Asterales, Asteraceae. The record is from RefSeq and is a predicted model, not a curated record.